GUGGGGAAUAUUGGACAAUGGGCGAAAGCCUGAUCCAGCCAUGCCGCGUGUGUGAAGAAGGUCUUCGGAUUGUCAAGCACUUUAAGUGAGGAGGAGGCUACCGAGAUUAAUACUCUUGGAUAGUGGACGUUACUCGCAGAAUAAGCACCGGCUAACUCUGUGCCAGCAGCCGCGGUAAUACAGAGGGUGCAAGCGUUAAUCGGAUUUACUGGGCUUAAAGCGCGCGUAGGUGGCCAAUUAAGUCAAAUGUGAAAUCCCCGAGCUUAACUUGGGAAUUGCAUUCGAUACUGGUUGGCUAGAGUAUGGGGGAGGAUGGUAGAAUUCCAGGUGUAGCGGUGAAAUGCGUAGAGAUCUGGAGGAAUACCGAUGGCGAAGGCAGCCAUCUGGCCUAAUACUGACACUGAGGUGCGAAAGCAUGGGGAGCAAACAGGAUUAGAUACCCUGGUAGUCC
RNAcentral lists this ribosomal RNA (451 nucleotides) under uncultured bacterium. RNAcentral describes it as "partial 16S ribosomal RNA". It matches the Rfam family "Bacterial small subunit ribosomal RNA", at positions 354 to 796 of the family's 1533-position model. The record is from RNAcentral.